RNAcentral lists this ribosomal RNA (255 nucleotides) under Salmonella enterica subsp. enterica serovar Anatum. RNAcentral describes it as "partial 23S ribosomal RNA". It matches the Rfam family "Bacterial large subunit ribosomal RNA", at positions 2157 to 2298 of the family's 2925-position model. The record is from RNAcentral. Lineage: Bacteria; Pseudomonadati; Pseudomonadota; Gammaproteobacteria; Enterobacterales; Enterobacteriaceae.
UAAAAAGGCCUGAGUCCGUUACCCGGAGUCAGGCCUGAUGAUGUUAACGACGGCGCGUUUACAUGCGUUCUACGGUUUCGAUACCCAACGUAUCCAGACCCAGUUUCAGCGUCUUCGCCGUCAGUUGUCAGUCUGCAUGGAGCCGACCUUGAAAUACCACCCUUUAAUGUUUGAUGUUCUAACGUGGACCCGUGAUCCGGGUUGCGGACAGUGUCUGGUGGGUAGUUUGACUGGGGCGGUCUCCUCCUAAAGAGU